RNAcentral lists this ribosomal RNA (497 nucleotides) under uncultured bacterium. Its description in RNAcentral is "partial 16S ribosomal RNA". It matches the Rfam family "Bacterial small subunit ribosomal RNA", at positions 28 to 507 of the family's 1533-position model. The record is from RNAcentral.
GAUGAACGCUGGCGGCGUGCCUAAUACAUGCAAGUCGAGCGAACAGACGAUGAGCUUGCUCCUCUGACGUUAGCGGCGGACGGGUGAGUAACACGUGGAUAACCUACCUAUAAGACUGGGAUAACUUCGGGAAACCGGAGCUAAUACCGGAUAAUAUAUUGAACCGCAUGGUUCAAUAGUGAAAGACGGUUUUGCUGUCACUUAUAGAUGGAUCCGCGCCGCAUUAGCUAGUUGGUAAGGUAACGGCUUACCAAGGCAACGAUGCGUAGCCGACCUGAGAGGGUGAUCGGCCACACUGGAACUGAGACACGGUCCAGACUCCUACGGGAGGCAGCAGUAGGGAAUCUUCCGCAAUGGGCGAAAGCUUGACGGAGCAACGCCGCGUGGGUGAUGAAGGUCUUCGGAUCGUAAAACUCUGUUAUUAGGGAAGAACAAAUGUGUAAGUAACUAUGCACGUCUUGACGGUACCUAAUCAGAAAGCCACGGCUAACUACGUG